ACGGGGCGCAGCAGGCGCGAAACCUCUGCAAUAGGCGAAAGCUUGACAGGGUUACUCUGAGUGAUUUCCGUUAAGGAGAUCUUUUGGCACCUCUAAAAAUGGUGCAGAAUAAGGGGUGGGCAAGUCUGGUGUCAGCCGCCGCGGUAAUACCAGCACCCCGAGUGGUCGGGACGUUUAUUGGGCCUAAAGCAUCCGUAGCCGGUUCUACAAGUCUUCCGUUAAAUCCACCUGCUUAACAGAUGGGCUGCGGAAGAUACUAUAGAGCUAGGAGGCGGGAGAGGCAAGCGGUACUCGAUGGGUAGGGGUAAAAUCCGUUGAUCCAUUGAAGACCACCAGUGGCGAAGGCGGCUUGCCAGAACGCGCUCGACGGUGAGGGAUGAAAGCUGGGGGAGCAAACCGGAUUAGAUACCCGGGUAGUCCCAGCUGUAAACGAUGCAGACUCGGUGAUGAGUUGGCUUAUUGCUAACUCAGUGCCGCAGGGAAGCCGUUAAGUUUGCCGCCUGGGGAGUACGGUCGCAAGACUGAAACUUAAAGGAAUUGGC
This 542-nucleotide ribosomal RNA is filed under the name uncultured archaeon. RNAcentral's name for it is "bacterial SSU rRNA". It matches the Rfam family "Archaeal small subunit ribosomal RNA", at positions 325 to 869 of the family's 1478-position model. The record is from RNAcentral.